Long non-coding RNA from Salvia hispanica, 554 nucleotides. RefSeq lists it as uncharacterized. Lineage: Eukaryota; Viridiplantae; Streptophyta; Magnoliopsida; Lamiales; Lamiaceae. The record is from RefSeq and is a predicted model, not a curated record.
CUCUCUCUCUCUGAUUGCCCUCCAGCUUCUCUCUACUUCUACUAUUGCUUCUCCGGUUGAUCUCUUGAGAUUAUUCACCAUUCUUGGGUGAAUAUUCUAGUGCUGAGGUGUGUAGAAGGCAACUGCUUCGGUUGUUUGUAGUGUGAGAACUAGGGUUUUUGUUCUGAGGUGGUUUCAGUGACUUAAUCCGGUGUGAAGGGGCUGUGUGGUGAAGGUAUUGACGGUGCGAGGGUAGACUCCAGUCAAUUCAUCGGUGCUCCCUUGGAUUUGGUUCUAGUUGAAUAGAUCUGGGCUAUGUGGCGGGCUCUGAGCCAUAUUCUGAUACUCACUAAGUGGAUGAACCGGCUAGGAUUUCGGUUGAGAGAUCUGUAAUAGUUAGGGUUCUAAUUCUUGUAUCACUUGUACACUUAUACUCUUGUAAUAGUGUAUAUCAGUCGCGUGGGUGAGAGUUUGGCUGAGCUCUCUUGUACAAGAACAAAGAGGUCUUGGUAAUUAGUGAGUCUGGACUUAUCUGAUCCCUAUAAAUGCUACUUGGAUUCAACAGGUUUUAUUUA